RNAcentral lists this ribosomal RNA (429 nucleotides) under uncultured prokaryote. RNAcentral's name for it is "bacterial SSU rRNA". It matches the Rfam family "Bacterial small subunit ribosomal RNA", at positions 355 to 796 of the family's 1533-position model. The record is from RNAcentral.
UCGAGAAUCUUUGGCAAUGGGCGAAAGCCUGACCAAGCGAUGCCGCGUGCGGGAUGACGGCCCUCGGGUUGUAAACCGCUGUCAGAGGGGAUGAAACUUCGGUUGACAGAGCCUCAGAGGAAGCACGGGCUAAGUACGUGCCAGCAGCCGCGGUAACACGUACUGUGCGAACGUUAUUCGGAAUCACUGGGCUUAAAGGGUGCGUAGGCGGCCUAUCAAGUCAGGUGUGAAAUCCCACGGCUCAACCGUGGAACUGCGCUUGAAACUGAUAGGCUUGAGCGAGACAGGGGUGAACGGAACUUCUGGUGGAGCGGUGAAAUGUGUUGAUAUCAGAAGGAACACCAUUGGCGAAAGCGGUUCACUGGGUCUUGUCUGACGCUGAGGCACGAAAGCUAGGGGAGCGAACAGGAUUAGAUACCCCCGUAGUCC